UACGGAGGGUGCAAGCGUUAUCCGGAUUUAUUGGGUUUAAAGGGUCCGUAGGCGGAUCUGUAAGUCAGGGGUGAAAUCUCACAGCUUAACUGUGAAACUGCCAUUGAUACUGCAGGUCUUGAGUAAGGUAGAAGUGGCUGGAAUAAGUAGUGUAGCGGUGAAAUGCAUAGAUAUUACUUAGAACACCAAUUGCGAAGGCAGGUCACUAUGUCUUAACUGACGCUGAUGGACGAAAGCGUGGGGAGCGAACAGG
This 253-nucleotide ribosomal RNA is filed under the name uncultured bacterium. Its description in RNAcentral is "partial 16S ribosomal RNA". It matches the Rfam family "Bacterial small subunit ribosomal RNA", at positions 524 to 776 of the family's 1533-position model. The record is from RNAcentral.